Long non-coding RNA from Monopterus albus (swamp eel), 1656 nucleotides. RefSeq lists it as uncharacterized. The record is from RefSeq and is a predicted model, not a curated record. Lineage: Eukaryota; Metazoa; Chordata; Actinopteri; Synbranchiformes; Synbranchidae. The transcript has 4 exons.
UUUAACGUCAGGUGUGCGUCAUAGGUAUGCGGUUCUUGGCGUCUUCACGGUAAAAUGGUUGUUUAAAACAAGCUGUUCUUAAGUUUAUAUUUCAAAAAAAAUGCGGCAACUUUGUCACAAAUAACAUUCAGAACAAGGGAGGAAGACCUUCAAAUUCUGCAGUUACCUGCUCCUGCGCUUUUGUUCCAAAGUAGAUAACGUGGACAAGCGUAACGCAGCUGCUAAUUAGCCCCAAACAACAGGUGACUGUCCAGGAGCCUCUGUUUCCCGGCUUUGCAUACAGGUCUGAGGAGAAGGACGUAGCCUACAUGUGUGCCCCUGGUUGAUGAUGUCCUACAGGUUUUUGUCUCGGUGCAAAUUGGAUGGGAUCAAACCUGGCCCCCUGCUGUCACAGGCUGAACUUUGUCGGUGAAGUCCUUGGACUGAUAGGACCAGUGUAUACUCACCAAAGCAUCGAUGAGUUGAUAUUUCAGCUAUACAAUGGCCGGGUGGGUUUGUACAUCAGACCCCAGGAGUCUGACUUUUGCAACAGGAAGAAGAAGAGGAGGACAGUAUAAAUGAACACCAACAAGAGGAAAAACAAAAAAGCGGCUCCGGGGAGGGUGAAGCUGAAUGUUUAAGAGCAUCCUCCACUCGCUCCCUCCUCUUUGACUCAAACUCCAGCGCCUCCUGCAGCUUCCGCUUGGCCUUCUUCUCCUUCUUCAGACGCUUCUGGAUGGAGGCUAAGGAAUCAAGAAAAUGACAACUUCCACCUUAUGUAUGACAUUGCUUUUCAGUGUGCCAGUCUUGACUUUGUGUUGAAUAGGUAGCAAAACCUUGAAUAAAUGUUUUCACUUAUGGAUUAUUUACUGUAAUAAUGAGCAACAAAGGCCAUUUUUAAUGAAUUCUACAACACAAAGUGUGCAAAGCACAUGGUACCUUUUGGGUGAACCCAUUUUCUGCGCUACCACUUUGGUUUACAUUACUCCAUCUCCCAGAAUGCCUUUCCUCAUGUCAGUUCACAUGUAGAUGGAGAUAGUAAAUAAAUGGCAUGUGCAAAAAAUGUUUCUAUUUAGGUAAUCAGUUUCUUAAACAAGGAGUUAAUAAGGAGUGCAGCCAAGUUAGCUAAAGAAAGCCGUAUGUGCGUCUCAGUUUUACACAAAAUAAUUUGACUCUUAAUAAUAUGGGGCUUAUUAUUUCACAGAACUGGGUUAAAAUAUCUUUUUACAAGUCUUUUAAAUGGCCACCCUGUCCAAAAUUAUCUAGAUCUGCCCAAGUGACAAGAACAUAUUGCUGAGCAUUAAAAUCAAUAAAAGACAGCUCCAAGAUUCUCAGAAUAAUGAGACAGGCAGCACAGUUGUAUUUAAUGCUUUUAGGCUAUUUUUUUUUUUAUCCUAGCUGUCCUAGAGCAUUGUUGUCUUCUUAUUGUCAUUCUGGGCAGCAAUUUGCAAAGUACUGUCACAGGUAGUUGUGUUCUCAAUGUCAUGGGUCCCCUACCUCCCGACCACUGGGGGAGGUAUUGAGCAGAUUGCUGCACCAGAAUAAAGGGAACACAGUAAGGAGCCAGGGCUAGCUUCUUUUAUAACGCACACUAGGUGAAGAAAAAAAGGUUGCUGAAAAUGCCAAUACCAAAAAUGACCGAACUUAUCCUUUAAAACAUCAUCUACCAUAAAUUUG